GGUGGUGUGCCAAGUACAUGCAAGUGGAGCGGCCGUAGCAAUACGGCAGUGGCAGAGGGGAGAGUAACACCGUGGGAACGUACCUUUUGGUUCGGAAUAACCCGAGGAAACUUGGGCUAAUACCGGAUGGGUCCCCGAGCAGUCGGGGGGAAAGAUUGAUCGCCAAAGGAUCGGCCCGCGUCUGAUUAGCUAGUUGGUGGGGUAAUGUCUCACCAAGGGGGGGGAAGCGUAGCAGACGUGAGAGGGUGAACGGCCACACUGNGAUUUUUUCUCGGCCCAGGAACAUACGGGAGGCAUCUCUUCUGAUCGGGAGAAAAAUCUCGCC
RNAcentral lists this unclassified non-coding RNA (325 nucleotides) under uncultured bacterium. RNAcentral describes it as "partial contains 16S ribosomal RNA and 16S-23S ribosomal RNA intergenic spacer region". The stretch from base 18 to 296 matches the Rfam family "Bacterial small subunit ribosomal RNA", at positions 55 to 353 of the family's 1533-position model. The record is from RNAcentral.